Molecule: ribosomal RNA, 253 nt
Filed under: uncultured Acidimicrobiales bacterium
Lineage: Bacteria; Bacillati; Actinomycetota; Acidimicrobiia; Acidimicrobiales
Description: partial 16S ribosomal RNA
Rfam family: Bacterial small subunit ribosomal RNA
Source: RNAcentral
UACGUAGGGGGCGAGCGUUGUCCGGAUUUAUUGGGCGUAAAGAGCUCGUAGGCGGUUUCGUAAGUCGAGUGUGAAAAAUCUGGGCUUAACCCAGUGGAGCACUCGAUACUGCGAUGACUUGAGUUUGGUAGAGGAGUGUGGAAUUCCUGGUGUAGCGGUGAAAUGCGCAGAUAUCAGGAGGAACACCAACGGCGAAGGCAGCACUCUGGGCCAGUACUGACGCUGAGGAGCGAAAGCGUGGGGAGCAAACAGG